Molecule: ribosomal RNA, 326 nt
Filed under: uncultured eukaryote
Lineage: Eukaryota
Description: partial 18S ribosomal RNA
Rfam family: Eukaryotic small subunit ribosomal RNA
Source: RNAcentral
CCCUUAGAUGUUCUGGGCUGCACGCGCGCUACACUGAUGCGCUCAACGAGUUUACGACCUUGCCCGGAAGGGUUGGGUAAUCUUUUUAAAACGCAUCGUGAUGGGGAUAGAUUAUUGCAAUUAUUAAUCUUUAACGAGGAAUUCCUAGUAAGCGCGAGUCAUCAGCUCGUGCUGAUUACGUCCCUGCCCUUUGUACACACCGCCCGUCGCUCCUACCGAUUGAGCGAUCCGGUGAAUAAUUCGGACUGCAGCAGUGUUCAGUUCCUGAACGUUGCAGCGGAAAGUUUAGUGAACCUUAUCACUUAGAGGAAGGAGAAGUCGUAACA